This 253-nucleotide ribosomal RNA is filed under the name uncultured bacterium. RNAcentral describes it as "partial 16S ribosomal RNA". It matches the Rfam family "Bacterial small subunit ribosomal RNA", at positions 524 to 776 of the family's 1533-position model. The record is from RNAcentral.
GACGAACCGUGCGAACGUUGUUCGGAAUCACUGGGCUUAAAGGGCGCGUAGGCGGGUCAGCAAGUCCGGGGUGAAAUCUUUCGGCUCAACCGGAAAAGUGCCUCGGAUACUGCUGGUCUUGAGGGAGGUAGGGGUUUGUGGAACUUCUGGUGGAGCGGUGAAAUGCGUUGAUAUCGUAAGGAAGACCAGUGGCGAAGGCGGGUCUCUGGACAGUUCCUGACGCUGAGGCACGAAGGCCAGGGGAGCAAACGGG